Non-coding RNA from Poecilia reticulata (guppy), 255 nucleotides. The record is from RefSeq and is a predicted model, not a curated record. Lineage: Eukaryota; Metazoa; Chordata; Actinopteri; Cyprinodontiformes; Poeciliidae.
AGGUUACAGUGCUUCCGCUGGUGCAUCCAAUGGACAAGGUUCACAAACCAAUGGUCGUGCUGGAGUCAGAUCACCAAAUGGGUUUGCAAAUUCAAGGACUGGAGCUGCCAAGGCUGCUAAAGCAGGAUAUGGAAGUACCACAGGAGCUGCUUUAGGACCCCAACUAGGGUAUUCAAAUGGAGCAACUCCCAAUGGGUUUGGAUCCAACCAUAAAGGUUAUGGAGCUGUGAAAGGAUUUGGUCCUCAGAUGAAUGG